AUGACAUUUUUAUUGCAGGUUUUGACCUUUAGGAGAGAGCCAAUUCUGGAGAACAACCUAACUUCUUUGAUUGAACAUUCACAUAAUGCAUUGGAACAUGAUAGGAGAUUAAGGUUUAAUGAUAGAAUGAAGACCAUAAUAGAACAGUUCCCCUACGUAGCCCAGCAAUUCUUAUGUUGCCUGUAUUUUGACACUGCCACUAUGUCCCCUCCAAAAGGUGAGAACUGACUAUUCCAUGUGUACCUAGACCAUGUGGAGAAAGGACUGAGACUGGAAGCAGAAAACAGACAUUGUAUAGAGCAGAGUGCCUGACAACGGCUCACUCUAGUAGAGGGCAGUAAUUGGCACAUGAUAUGAUCCUCUCGUCACAGAAUUGUAAGUAACUUUGGGGAAGCACAGGGGAAUUAGACUGUUGUCUCUGCUGACUCAGUAAAAAAAAAAAAAAAAAAAAAAGUCUUCAUUUUAUCAUUUGUGGCCUGUAUGCUGUAAAUUAAGAUGUACUGAACUGAGGCGCCUGUUUGGCUCAGUUGGUUAAGCGUCUGCUUUUGGCUCAGGUCUUGAUCCCGGGUCCUGGGAUGGAGCUGAGCCAUCCUGAGCUGGGAGCCUGCUUCUCCCUCUCCCUCAGCUGCUCCCCCUGCUUGAGCUCUCUCUCUCAAAUAAACAAAAUCUUUUUUUUUUUUAAUUUUUUAAUUUAUUUACGAUAGUCACAGAGAGAGAGGCAGAGACACAGG
RNAcentral lists this long non-coding RNA (731 nucleotides) under Canis lupus familiaris (dog). RNAcentral describes it as "lncRNA (ENSCAFG00000051177.1)". The record is from RNAcentral. Lineage: Eukaryota; Metazoa; Chordata; Mammalia; Carnivora; Canidae.